Molecule: transfer RNA, 88 nt
Filed under: Paludibacterium paludis
Lineage: Bacteria; Pseudomonadati; Pseudomonadota; Betaproteobacteria; Neisseriales; Chromobacteriaceae
Description: tRNA-Gln
Source: RNAcentral
GAUUUUCAGGCCAUUGGAGGCAUGGCCGUUCUGGCCGGCCAUCGCCUGCUGGUAGGCCGCAUAGCUGUUGUACCCCGCGAAGGCCGCC